Molecule: long non-coding RNA, 443 nt
Filed under: Sus scrofa (pig)
Lineage: Eukaryota; Metazoa; Chordata; Mammalia; Artiodactyla; Suidae
Description: lncRNA (ENSSSCG00035029211.1)
Source: RNAcentral
GUCCAUUGGGUUCUUGAUCGGCUUUUCCGUACUCCAACUUACUGCUACACUCUUCUCUGCAUCUGGAGAUUCCUCUGGUUCGUUUGAUCUUNNNCCAGGUCUGCAACAUAUUCCCUGUUCUCCUUGAUUAUUUCCCAGGAAGUUAUAACACAUUCCUUAAAACUUUUGCUCAAAUGAGAAGUUACACUUUGGAGAAAACCAGAGAACACCAAGCAUCCCUGGGCAUUAACAACCCUCAGGACUUGAUUGAUUUUUUCCUGAUCAAGAUGGAGCAGCUGGGACAGAGACAGUGAGCACCACUCUGAGACAUGGGCUCCUCCUGCUGCUCAAGCACCCAGAUGUCACAGCUAAGAUCCAGGAAGAGAUUGACCGUGUGAUUGGCGGACACCAGAGCCCCUGCAUGCAGGACAAGAGCCACAUGCCCUACACGGAUGCUGUGGUGC